This 109-nucleotide transfer RNA is filed under the name Methanobacteriota archaeon. Its description in RNAcentral is "tRNA-Ile". Lineage: Archaea; Methanobacteriati; Methanobacteriota. The record is from RNAcentral.
GGGCCCGUAGCUUAGCCAGGUUUGAUUCUGUCCUGAGAGCCCCUCAGGGAAGAGAAUAUGCGCACGGCUGAUAACCGUGAGGCCAGGCGUUCAAAUCGCCUCGGGCCCA